GGUUUUUUGAUUUUUAUUUAAGAUCAGGCCUGCCCAUUGAUUUAUAGGAAUUAAAAGGCUGCGGUAUUUUAACUGUACGAAGGUAGCAUAAUCAUUUGUCUUUUAAUUGAAGGCUAGUAUGAAUGGUUUGAUGAGAAAUUAACUUUAUUUAUUUAAUUAAUUUGAAUUUAAUUUUUUAGUUAAAAAGCUUAAAUUUUUUUAUAGGACGAGAAGACCCUAUAGAGAUUAAUUUUCUUUAUAAAAUUUUAUUUUUGGUUUAUAAAUUAUUUUUUAGAAUGGGAAAUUUUGUUGGGGUGACAGUAAAAUUUUUUUAACUUUUAUUUUUUUUUUCAUUGAUUUAUGUAUUUUUGAUCCGGAAUUUCUGAUUAAAAGAUUAAUUUACCUUAGGGAUAACAGCGUAAUUUUUUUGGAGAGUUCUUAUCAAUAAAAAAGUUUGCGA
RNAcentral lists this ribosomal RNA (439 nucleotides) under Chenevelia stridulans. RNAcentral describes it as "partial 16S ribosomal RNA". The record is from RNAcentral. Lineage: Eukaryota; Metazoa; Arthropoda; Insecta; Hemiptera; Veliidae.